GUAGGGAAUAUUGGGCAAUGCUCGCAAGAGUGACCCAGCCAUGCCGCGUGCAGGAAGAAGGCCUUCUGGGUUGUAAACUGCUUUUGGAAGGGAACAAAAUGACACUGCGGUGUAACUUGAGUGUACCUUCAGAAUAAGCACCGGCUAACUCCGUGCCAGCAGCCGCGGUAAUACGGAGGGUGCAAGCGUUGUCCGGAUUUAUUGGGUUUAAAGGGUGCGUAGGCGGCUUAUUAAGUCAGGGGUGAAAGACUGCAGCUCAACUGUAGCAGUGCCUUUGAUACUGAUGAGCUUGAGUACAGAUGAGGCUGGCGGAAUGGGUGGUGUAGCGGUGAAAUGCAUAGAUACCAUCCAGAACACCGAUUGCGAAGGCAGCCGGCUAAACUGUCACUGACGCUGAGGCACGAAAGCGUGGGGAUCGAACAGG
RNAcentral lists this ribosomal RNA (424 nucleotides) under uncultured bacterium. Its description in RNAcentral is "bacterial SSU rRNA". It matches the Rfam family "Bacterial small subunit ribosomal RNA", at positions 354 to 776 of the family's 1533-position model. RNAcentral also lists the same sequence under 1 other name. The record is from RNAcentral.